CCAGGAAGUACCUUGAAGUCUGUUCAGGUUGUAUGCCUAUAUUCAACCAGCAAGGUACUUGAAGUGUGUUCAGGUUGUAUGCCUAUAUUCAACCAGCAAGUACCUUGAAGUCUGUUCAGGUUGUAUGCCUAUAUUCAACCAGCAAGUACCUUGAAGUCUGUUCAGGUUGUAUGCCUAUAUUCAACCAGCAAGUACCUUGAAGUCUGUUCAGGUUGUAUGCCUAUAUUCAACCAGCAAGUACCUUGAAGUCUGGUCAGGUUGUAUGCCUAUAUUCAACCAGCAAGUACCUUGAAGUCUGGUCAGGUUGUAUGCUGGGCAUCAGUAUCUCAGUGAUGGAAAUGAAGCCUUUAACUUUUGAAUCUGUAAGAAAUGUCUUGAAUUGAAAAUUGAUUUUUGUAAGGAACUACACAGCCAUCAAAGUUGUAAAUGGUUUUAUGCAGUAUUUUAUAGUUCACUGCUGCUAUAGAUUGUUCCUAGUUCACUGCUGCUAUAGAUUGUUCUCGGUGCAGUA
Long non-coding RNA from Dreissena polymorpha, 511 nucleotides. RefSeq lists it as uncharacterized. NCBI's taxonomy places the organism in Eukaryota, Metazoa, Mollusca, Bivalvia, Myida, Dreissenidae. The record is from RefSeq and is a predicted model, not a curated record. The transcript is spliced from 3 exons.